RNAcentral lists this ribosomal RNA (498 nucleotides) under uncultured bacterium. RNAcentral describes it as "partial 16S ribosomal RNA". It matches the Rfam family "Bacterial small subunit ribosomal RNA", at positions 28 to 507 of the family's 1533-position model. The record is from RNAcentral.
GACGAACGCUGGCGGCGUGCCUAAUACAUGCAAGUCGAACGAGAGCACCCGGUGCUGGCACUGGUCAAUCUAGUGGCGAACGGGUGAGUAACACGUGGGUAACCUGCCCAUCAGAGGGGGAGAACAUUCGGAAACGGAUGCUAAAACCGCAUAGGUCUUCGAACCGCAGGGUUUGAAGAGGAAAAGAGUCGCAAGCUUCUGCGGAUGGAUGGACCCGCGGUGCAUUAGCUAGUUGGUGAGGUAACGGCUCACCAAGGCCGUGAUGCAUCGCCGACCUGAGAGGGUGAUGGGCCACAUUGGGACUGAGCCACGCACCCUACUCCUGAGGGAGGCAGCAGUAGCGAAUCUUCCGCAAUGGACGCAAGUCUGACGGAGCAACGCCAAGUGAGUGAAGAAGGUUUUCGGAUCGUAAAACUCUGUUGUUAGAGAAGAACCAGUGCUAGAGUAACUGUUAGCGCCUUGACGGUAUCUAAACAGAAAGCCACGGCUAACUACGUG